CCCUUAGAUGUUCUGGGCUGCACGCGCGCUACACUGAUGCGUUCAACGAGUUUAUGACCUUGCCCGAUAGGGUUGGGUAAUCUUUUUAAAUCGCAUCGUGAUGGGGAUAGAUUAUUGCAAUUAUUAAUCUUCAACGAGGAAUUCCUAGUAAGCGCGAGUCAUCAGCUCGUGCUGAUUACGUCCCUGCCCCUUGUACACACCGCCCGUCGCUACUACCGAUUGGAUGGUCCGGUGAGAACUCUGGAUUGCGGUCGCUGCGGAGGUUCGCCUUCGCAUCGCUGCGAGAAGUUGAUCGAACCUUAUCAUCUAGAGGAAGUAAAAGUCGUAACA
This 330-nucleotide ribosomal RNA is filed under the name uncultured eukaryote. RNAcentral describes it as "partial 18S ribosomal RNA". It matches the Rfam family "Eukaryotic small subunit ribosomal RNA", at positions 1470 to 1796 of the family's 1831-position model. The record is from RNAcentral.